CCAAAGAUGGCGGGCCUCCGUGCCCCCGUCCCCAACCCAUUGUUGACCAAAACCCUUUUGCCUCGGGGGCAGAGCGUCCGCCGCCGCCCCCGGAGGACCAUCAAACGCUGUCUCUUUGCGUCGGAGUAAUUGAUUAAAUGAAUGA
This 145-nucleotide unclassified non-coding RNA is filed under the name uncultured fungus. Its description in RNAcentral is "sequence contains ITS1, 5.8S rRNA gene". The record is from RNAcentral. Lineage: Eukaryota; Fungi.